RNAcentral lists this long non-coding RNA (435 nucleotides) under Pan troglodytes (chimpanzee). RNAcentral's name for it is "lincRNA". The record is from RNAcentral. Lineage: Eukaryota; Metazoa; Chordata; Mammalia; Primates; Hominidae.
GCACACAGCCAGCACCCGUUGAGGUUUGCACAUGUUUGCACCCCACUCUUUCUGGCAGCCCAGGCGUCCCCUCUUUCUGAGCUGUAUUCUGUGGAGGUUGCUCUGCUGAGGAGCUGGGUGGUGGCGCAGUCAUUUUGCUGAUCUGAUGCUUCUCCCACACCCGUAAGUGGGAGUGGAGCAGGGCGUGUGGGUCCGGCUGCUGCCUCUGCCUCGGCACUUCAGAGACGGUCAUCUGCUCCUGUUCUUGCCAUUCGCGGGGUCUGCCUCCAGCAAGUUCUCCUUCAGCAUUCUGAGUGUACCACGGGACAGCUAGGUUGGUCUUGCACUCCUGAGUUCAAGCGGUCCACCCGUCUUGGCCUUCCAUGUGCUGGGAUUACAGGCGUGAGCCACCUCGCUCGGCCUGGAUACACCAGGUUCGCCCAGCCACCUCGCUCG